AACUGAUACUACCUGCGGGAACCUGCGGAGGGAUCAUUACCGAGUCUUUGCACUCAAACAACCCUUCUGUGGACCUGAAGAAAACCGUUGCCUCGGCGGGCGGCCCCUACCUGUGGGCCGGACAGUUCGGCCGCCUUUAUUUUUAAGGCGCGCCGGCGCCAGCCGCUGGCCCCAAACCAAAACUCUAGUAACUAUUACCUUCUGAGUUUUAAAGCAAGAAAUAAGUCAAAACUUUUAACA
RNAcentral lists this unclassified non-coding RNA (240 nucleotides) under soil metagenome. RNAcentral's name for it is "partial contains 5.8S ribosomal RNA, internal transcribed spacer 2, and large subunit ribosomal RNA". The record is from RNAcentral.